GGACUACAGGGGUAUCUAAUCCCGUUCGCUCCCCUGGCUUUCGCGCCUCAGCGUCAGUUGAGGGCCAGCCGCGCGCUUUCGCCACCGGCGUUCCUUCCGAUAUCAACGCAUUUCACCGCUCCACCGGAAGUUCCCGCGGCCCCUACCUCACUCCAGACGAGCAGUCCCCGAGGCACUUUUCCGGUUAAGCCGAAAGAUUUCACCCCGGGCUUGCCCGCCCGCCUACGCGCCCUUUAAGCCCAGUGAUUCCGAACAACGUUCGCACGGUUCGUCUUACCGCGGCGGCUGGCAC
RNAcentral lists this ribosomal RNA (292 nucleotides) under uncultured bacterium. RNAcentral describes it as "partial 16S ribosomal RNA". RNAcentral also lists the same sequence under 2 other names. The record is from RNAcentral.